This 325-nucleotide ribosomal RNA is filed under the name uncultured soil bacterium. RNAcentral's name for it is "bacterial SSU rRNA". It matches the Rfam family "Bacterial small subunit ribosomal RNA", at positions 26 to 353 of the family's 1533-position model. The record is from RNAcentral.
AGAUUGAACGCUGGCGGCAUGCCUUACACAUGCAAGUCGAACGGCAGCACGGGAGCAAUCCUGGUGGCGAGUGGCGAACGGGUGAGUAAUAUAUCGGAACGUGCCCAGUCGUGGGGGAUAACGCAGCGAAAGCUGUGCUAAUACCGCAUACGAUCUAUGGAUGAAAGCGGGGGAUCGCAAGACCUCGCGCGAUUGGAGCGGCCGAUAUCAGAUUAGCUAGUUGGUGGGGUAAAAGCCUACCAAGGCGACGAUCUGUAGCUGGUCUGAGAGGACGACCAGCCACACUGGAACUGAGACACGGUCCAGACUCCUACGGGACGCAGCA